GGAGACAGAGGGAGACUCUGUCUCAAAAAAAAAAACAAAAAAAAAACAACUUUUUGCUUUAUUGCAGGCAGGAUGCAUUUCAAGAGGCUUAUUUCCCCUUCUCUGUCUGAUCUAUCUGCUAAGUAUCUUGGCUUUCUAUUUCCCAUAGCCCAUCUAAUCUUCAUGUAGCUGUGAAAGAAGUAUAUCUUUGAAAGUAGAAUUUUGAGUAAAGAAACCUGGAAGUUAGGGACUGAUAACCAGGUUGCAUGGCUCCUUGUUAAUUUCAGCUUCAAGCCAUGUUUGCGUCUUCUUGGGCCCUUAAUCUACUGUUGAGCAUGUCUUUUUCUUUCUUGGUGUGAAUUCUGCCUCUUGGUAUAGGUGGUAUUUGUUAACAUAACUCUGACAUAAACGUGGAAACAUUCUGUGUCUCAUUGUCGUUGUCUAUAAAAUGGGGUUAUAGGGUAUUUCCUGACCUACUUAAGGUUACUGUGAGGAUUAGUGAAUAUAGAAAGAAUAAGAAGUAUAGUAUAAGCAUAAGGUGACAUACAAUGAAGUAUAACCUUUAUUAUUGAAUUUCACUUUGUGACCUUAUAAAAUUUGAUUCCUUUCAGCUCUAUCAACGACAGCAUCUUGCUUAGUCAUAUUUUUUUUUCUUUUUAGAAAACUUAGGUGCUUGUCCAAUGCCGCAAAGCAAGUUUGGGUAAGGUAGGGUAAAAGCUCCAGUCUCCUAAGUCCCACAGCAGCAGGAUGCUCAGUUGUGAUUUCUGCCUUACUUUACCACUUGGGUAAUCUUUCAGUGAAGGAGGUAACUAUCUCUUCUUUCUUGGGUUAAAAUAAUACCUUAGUAGAAGCAAAGAACACUGUCACUUUAGUUCUUUUCAACCUUCAUUUGCCGUCGCCCUCUGUGUCUAGGCAUGAUGAGCUAGCCUGAAGGUGACAAGACAAGUAUGAUAGAUUCUGGCCUCCAAGGGACUGCCAAAUCUAGUGGAAGGAGGUAAACAAAUAAACAGACAGACAUUUGGGAGUCUGAGUUUCCGGUGCUGCUCCUUACACACGUGGGCAAGUCAUGUCUUUCUUUGGGCUCAGGUUUCCUAGCUGCACGUUAAGGUCCUAGAACAAAUGUGCAGAAUGAUCAUGAUCACUUGAGGCCGCUUCUAAUUUGUCACCAUCUAUGGGUCUGUGAUAAUCCCAAGCUGUGUGCUUGCCAACUGAAACUGAAAUAAAGGAAAGCGAUUAAUUCAUUUCACAAACUGAAAUGAAGGAAAUCUCUUAAUCUGAUGACAUAUUCUUCCUAAUUAUUAUUUGUGAUAAAUUUCACAGACUACUUUUUCCAACAUUCAGCACUACCGUUGUAUUGUAUUAUAUUGGAACAUAGAUGGCGAUACUUGUUCAGUUAACCAAAUGGUCAACUGCAAAAACAGCAGAAGCGGACAUCUCAUGAUGAUUUAAUACAGGGCACAAAAAUCAAUGGUAGCAUUAACUACUAUUCGUGGCCUCUCUGUAGUGUUUUUAAGCUACCUUUCUUUUUUCCUAAAAAGGACCAUAGAAUAAUAGCAGCUAGUAUUUAUUUAGUUUUUUCCUGUGUGAUAGGUAAGUGUUGUUUUAAGUGCUUCCCAUAUAAAAACUCAUUUAAUCUUUACAUUUUGAAGCAGGCAUUAUCUUCCCUAGAAGAUAAUGUUUAGAGAUUAGACAACCGAGGUACAAGAAAUUAAGUAAAACUUAUUCAUAAUUACACAGCUAUUAAGAGGUGGAGGCAGGAUUCAAACUGAGGCAGUCAGCCUCAGGCAGUCUCAUGCUUCGCGGCUGGACGAUCGCCUAAAUGAAAGCUGCUCACUCCCAGCCCACUGAGAACCUGGAGAAACUGGCGUUGUUAUGCGGCCACAGGCUAAGAAAGCAGUGUAUCAGCUUACUUGUGGCUCUAAACUUGGCCAGAUCCUCAAUUCUAAGGAUUCUGAGAACUAUGCACAGGUGUUCUCAGUCUGGAUUCAUGUCUCAGGUGACUCAUGAACCCUUGGAAAUUGUGUGCCAAAUGCAUUUAUGUGUCCAUGUGUGUUGUGUUGGUAUGACGGGCUAGGCGACUUAAUGGUUUUCUGCACAAUAUCAGAAGAGCCCCCACUCUGUCACUGGCAGGAUCCUAGCUGUGCAGGCCUUUGUCAAAUCUAAAUCAAGAUUCCGGGCUGGGAGUUAGGAUAUAAGUACGCAUUGAACAUGUGAGUGGCUAUAGGAACCUGGAAGAACCAGGCUUUCCAAAUGUCCUCCCCUGCUUGGAGCUCUGCUGCUGUGGUGCAGUUGUACAAUGUCCUUUUUUCUCUUUGAAGCUUUCCAAAUUUUUCAAUCUUUUUUUUUUUUUUUUGCCUCCAGAUUUUGGAAAGUCAAAAUUUCAAGUGUUUUUUUUUUUUCCUUUUGUUUUACCUCUUCCUUUCUGGCUUUGUUCAGAAAUCAGACAUCAAUAAGCUUUUUAUUACUCAUCCAAUCUGAGUUCAGUUUCCCAUUUAACUUUUAUGAAUGUUUUCUUUGUUAAGAUGGGUUCUUUCAAACCCUGUAAAGAAUGUUUUACUAUAUACUAACAUAAAAAUGAAGUGUUAAAACUAGAAAAUCCAACUGGAAACACAAGCAUACAUAUACAUUUUCCUCUAGGCAAUUUAGCUUCGUGGAAAUUGAGUGCAUCUGCAAGGGAAUUUUUUUUUUAAAUGUUUUUGGUAGUUUUGUUAUUUGUAUUACCUGUUUGGUCCUAGUCUUUAUAUUUGAUUACUCUAGGUAGGUCUUUUUAGGACUGAAAAUAGGUCACACAUAUUAUGCUGGUCCCGAUAUUAGAGAGAUGAUAAAAUUCUAUUACAAAGUAAUUUUGUCAUGCUUUUGGUCUAAAUGAGUCAUACAACUAGCAUGUCCGAUGUCAUUUUUUGCUGUAAUCUUGAAAACUUUUACUGUCUAUCCCAUCCUUAUAUACUGCAACAAACUUCUAUAUUAUUUCAGUUGCAGUUCAGGCAUUGCCCCUGACAGGCUUAACUUCAAGUCUCAGUUCUGUUACUUAGAAGCCAUAUGACUUUGGGCAAGUUUAUUUAAUUGUUUGGAGUCUUUUUUUUUUCCUACGAAAGGGGAAAACAAUAAUUAUAUAUUGCUCAAAGGGUUAUGAGGAGUGAGGUCAGGCAUGGUUAUAUGUUUCACUCUGGCUUUUUGCAGAGUAAGCACUUGAUAAAUGAUGCUCAUGUUGUUGAUUGUCAUCAUCAUCAUUAAUAUGUGUAAUAUGCUAGGUAUACUGCUUGGCAUAUAGUGAGCAUUAAAUACAUAUUUAUGGGAUUUUAUUGUACAUAGUGCUUGUGACUGAAUCAGAGGUUUCCAGGGAUAGCAUUUUGCUCAGUAGAUGAAUAAGAAGGACAUCAUUGAACAGAACAAAUGAUGACUCUACCUUUAAGUCAACAAAUUUCGUAGUGAGGUGGUCUUGAAUGCAAACAAUGAAAUGUGGCAUGUCUAGUGGAGGAAAAAAACCUAACAAUCUUGAAGCUGUUUUAAGGAGUAGCAGUUGCCUAGUCACCCCAAUUGCCAAAAUUUUCCUUCUCUCCCUUGAAUGAGGAGAAGAGAGGGGCAGAAAGGUUACUGGUUGUGUUCAUUAAUUUUCUUUCAAGAACUGCCACAUGUCACCAGCGGUGCCCCCCCCCCACCCCAGCACCAGUGCUGUUUGGCGGUCUUCUCUUUGCCCCAGAGAAGCCAAAAUGUUAAAUUGGUGGAGCUUACUAGAUCUGACAGAGAAAUUCUUCACGUCUGGCCUGGAUGUCUAAGUAAAUUUGGUGUACUCCUUGUGGUCUGGGGCAAAUGCUGGAAGCUAUUAGAAUUCUGAACAAAACCCUCCAUUCAAAGACUGCUCGUUUCCUGCUGGGGUAAUCCAAGUAUCAAACAUUAAGAAAUAUGGGCAAGGCAAAUGUGGCUGCUCAAUGCAAAACCCACCAAGGUGUCUACGACAUCUCCCCAAAUGACUUAGAAUGUUACUUCCACUUGAUCAUCUUGAAUAAGUGGUUUCUUUUGAAACCAAGAGCUCUACUUUUCCUACAGCAAGUAUAGAUGAGAAUUGCCUGAAUUUCCUCUUGUCAGUCAAAUUUAGAAGAAGAAAGCUUUCUCCUUCCCUUGAAGUUCUAGGGACCUAAGCUUUUUUUUGUGUGUGUUUGUGUGUGUGUGUGUGUGUGUGUGUGAACAUGUGUUUAGGUCAACUCUUUGAUUUGUUCUCUUUCUUCUUCUUUUUAUUGUUUCAAGGCUAUAUUUUAGGUUGGCUGUACAGAAAUGAGGUUGCAUUGUAGAGCCUCAUCCUCUAAACCCAAAAUACAGCAAGUAUAAGACUGCUUAGCGCAUCCAGUGAGAAUCUCAUGUAUUAUACUCUUACUUGUCAUUGAGCUGCCAGAUAAAAAUGAAUAGCUUUGUCUUAGAAAGCAAUUACUCUUCUGCAAUGAAAACAACAUU
Molecule: long non-coding RNA, 4428 nt
Organism: Sapajus apella (tufted capuchin)
Lineage: Eukaryota; Metazoa; Chordata; Mammalia; Primates; Cebidae
Exons: 2
Source: RefSeq, a predicted model, not a curated record